This 23-nucleotide non-coding RNA is filed under the name Arabidopsis thaliana (thale cress). The record is from RNAcentral. Lineage: Eukaryota; Viridiplantae; Streptophyta; Magnoliopsida; Brassicales; Brassicaceae.
AAAUUCAAGAUUUGUCAUGGGCU